AAGAAAUAAAAACUGCAGAAACAGGACAAGACAAAACCAGCAAAAAGAACAAAAGGAAACCAAAAACCAAAAAGAACUAAAGCGGCAAAACCAAACCAAAGAAUAAAAUAAGGCCCAAAGCAGCAGUAACAGUUUAAAAAAAAAAAAAAAAAAAAAAGAAAAAAGAAAAAAAGAGCAUAAGAAACCAAUUAACUUAGUCUAUCAUAUCAACGGCUAUUUACAUUCACAAAAUCAAACCACAUACUCAAUUUACAGUAAAGUGAAGAAAACAAAAAACGAAAUUAUUGACAGAGCUUUAACUUUAACAGUAACAAAAAUACCUUGCGAUUUGCGAGCCACAGAGCUAGUCUUGAACGAGACACAGAGCUUGUCGGCGGAGAUCGCCGCUCUUGAGGCGCGCUCGUCACUCGUCGGAUAAAAGGCAACAGGCAAAUCGAAGAUGAGAGACUAAGGCAACAAGAGAAAAAAUCAGAUCGAGGCAAAACUACUGCCUCGCGAAGAACGAAUUGAACUUUGAUUUAAAAAGUUAAUUCAAAACGACGUGGUUUGGUUAAGGCAUUUUCUGUGUCAAAACUUCGUCGUUCUGGUAGUGAAGUGUUAGUUAUUUUCUUCCUUUCUUUUUCUGGCCUAAUACAGAGAGAUAAUUAAAAUUUUAUGUAAUUCAGUUAUAAAUUUAAUUUUUAUAUCUGAUAUGCAAAAACUAAAAAUUUAAAUUUUGUGAAUUUAAUUCUAUAAUAUAAUUAAAUUAAAUUUCAUAAAAAAGUGAAAUUUUAGAAUGAAUUUCAUAAAUUUAAACAAUAUAUUUUCGCAGAUAAUAGUAGAUAAGUUCUUGAUGGGCUUAAAUCUAUGUUUCUGUAUUUUACACAACCAGCAAUUGAACAGAAAAAAAAAACAUUCGACCAUAAAAUGACAAGCAUCUAUUCCAAUCAAAAUUAUUAGUGAUCCAAGUUAUCAAAUGGGCCUCAAAUAUACACAAAGCCCAAACACAACAGAUACACACUCAUCAUCCUUAUAUUUAUUCAUCAAGUGGGCCCAAGCCAGCAGGAGGCGGUUACCAAAUGUACAAAGUUAAAUAUAUAGAGUAGAUACAACAGCUGCUAGCAUCUGCUUCUUGAAUGUUUUCACUGUAUUGAACUAUUCUACAAUACAAUUUUUGUCUCCAUUAAUACACUGUUUCAGUUUUCUCUUUCUCUGGUGAAGAAUGCUUUGAUAAUCUCAUCAGUUAGCAAACCUCAAUAAUCUUUUUUGUUGUUAAAAUUUUGAUUAACAGCCUAGCCUGAUAUGGUGGUGACAAUUCUAAAUGAAAACAUAACCAAUAAUUAAAAAAAAAAAAAAAAGAAAUAAAAAUACCUAUGCUUUUAUUGUGUUUCAGCCAUUCAUUUUGUUAAGAUUUGAUGGGAGGUUUAAAUUGAUAUAAUCUUAAAUUCAUAUAUUGAAUUGAAAAAAUUACGAAAUCAAAUCGAAGAAAAAGUAAACUUUCUUUUUAUUUGAUGCAAAUUGAAUUGCUUAGCGUGACUAAUAAACUACAGGCCCAUUUUGGCCCAUUCUCCAAAUUUUGGGCCCUCAUACUGGGCCUAAACGCACUCGUACUUUUACCCAAUUCCUCUUUGGCAAAAACCCAUAACUAUAAAUUUCCAUCUAUCUCUGGUAGGAAAAAGAUAAAAUUCCAACUAGUCCAUGAGGUUCAGCCAACUGUACAGUUUCAUCCCAAUAUUUAAAAAUAAAAGGAAUUAAGGAGUCCCAAAAUUUAAUUCCAUUAAUGAAAUAAUAUUUUUAUUUCCAUAGACCUGGUUUAGGUAGGUCUAAACCUUAUUAUAAUUAAUAUUAAUUAACCAAUAGUCAAUAAAUAUUUUUUUGAAAAAUAUAAUUCAUUAACUAUAAUAUCAAACAUUACGAAUAAUCAUAUAGAUCAGACAAUGAAUUUUACUAUCAUAAGCUAAUAGAGUUCGUUGAUCUUUUAACAAGCUAAAAUAAUUAUAUAUAUUCUUUUGAAUGAUAAUACUAAAUAUAAGAAAAUAUAAUAUUAUAUCUUUCCACUUGAAGAUGAUCUUGAUAAAAGAUAUAAAUAUUCUUAUUACCAACUAGUUUUUUAAUUGAUUUGGAUAGUAAAAUAAUAAUUACUUUGGAUCUUUUAUAUCUGAAUUGUUUUUAGCUAAAUUGUUUUUUCAAGGACUUGUAAUAUAUAACAUACACAUAUGAAUUCUCGCCAACAUACAUCAAUAGUAUCAAUAGAGGAACAAGUCGCACUAUUAGACUUCGUUGAUCAAAGAUUCACAUUUACAAAUCAAUAUCAAAAGUUUCCAACCAAAUAAAAUCAAAUAUUAUACUUUUAUUUAUAAUAAACUCUCAUACAGAAGGAACAAAAAGCUCUAAAUACGGAAACAAAAUAACAAUAAUAAAAAUCAAAACAAAUAUAUUAUAUGAUAAAUAGAUAUGAAUUUAUUAAAAUGGCUAAGAGAAUUUAAAAGAGAAAAAGAGAAGAAGUUGAAUCAAAGGAAAAAAAUAGAAUGUAGGAGAUUAUCACUAAUCAACAUCAAGCGGCCACAAACUAAAUUUUUAAACAUUUUAUAAAUUUCAAUCAAUGACUUCGUUAUUUUAGGUGUCUCGUCAUGCCGAAGAGAUAAUAAAAAAUCAAAAUUCGAAAGACUCAAGAAAGAUCAUCUUUUCACCAUUCAUAUUUAAAUAUAAUAUAUAUAACGGCAGAGCUUCUUAUGGUCGAAAGGUCGCUGGGCAAUUCUAAGAAAUUUUUUUUAAAAGAAAAAUUCUUAUGAAAUAUUAUAUUUUGGUCUUUAAAAAUAUAAAAAAAUUAUAUUUUGAUACCCUAAAAGUUUUUAAAACUUCAUUUAGCUUGUUUAAAGUAAUUGUCUUAGUUCUGUGCUGAAUAUAUAUAUAUAUAUAUAUAUAUAUAUAUAUAUAUUAAAUAUUCUAUGUAUUAUCCCUAUCACAUUUGCAUUGAUAACCAGGACAAGAAGCUUGUAGCCAAAUGUUAGAGUACUGACAACUAAUUCCCACUGUGAAAUGUUUUAUUAGCCUCUGAUCAUCAAUGAUUAAGUGGCCCACUUGUUUUAAUUUGUCCAGAACUUAUGGAAUAAUUAAUCAAGUAUUAAUAAUUAUUUUUGGAAGCGAACAUUCUAGAUAUACCUUUUUUCUCUUGUUCAGCUACUGCAACAUUUUUGUUGGAGAAUCAAGAACUUAUGGCUUAAAAUAUUCGCAUAUACUAUAUUAAGUACUCCCAUCUUCAAAAUAGUUCAUUUUCUAUUUUUACACAGAUUAAAAAAAUAAUAAUUAUUAUGAGUUUUGACAAUUCUAUUCCUAUAACUUUUCUAUCAUACCAUUUUAAAUAACAUAUGAGCAAUUAUUAUAUUUAAAUAAUAAGUAAAAAUUAAUGAGGGUUAUUGAAAAUAAGAAAAAAUUUAAUAAGGGUAUAAUAGACAAUUUCAUGAUUAACUAUAAUACAAAAAAGAAAAAUAAACCAUAUUUUAGGACAAAUUAAAAAGAAAAGAUGAAAUAUUUUUUUGAGGCAGAUCUAUUAUUCUUCUCACAAUAAUGAUUUUAUAAGUACAGUUUUUUUUUUUCUUUAUACUCAAAUGAUAUGAGAAGCUAAUUUUAUAAAAAACGAAGAUUAAUUUGUCUUUGAAUUUGUUUAAUAGGAUAAAAAAUGUCAAGAUUUGAUCUUUUUAGAUCAAUUUAACAUCUAAACUUAUUUAAAAUAAUUAAAAAGAUCAGAUUUAAUAUUUUGGAUUAAUUUAGUCCCUGACUAUUCGCUGUAUUUAUAACGUGAGAAUUCUUAUAUAGACAUUUAUUAAAAUUAUAGUUGGAAUCACGUGGUAUAAUUUAUUGAAAAAUUUAAUUAAAUAUCAAAUUGAGGAAAUAAUAUAUGAAAUAUAUUAUAUCCCUCUUUAUCUUGAUCUAUCAUUUUAAAUUCAUAAAUAUGUACUAAUUUAAAUAUUUUAAAAUUGAACUUUACUACUAGAUUAUUGCAUAUGCAGUUCAUGCAUUUCUCAUGUUAAACGAAUUCAAAGUUACACUACAUAUUUUAUAAAUUUACUGUGUUAAAGAAAUAAUAUUUUCGUGAUUUUAAAAUUCUAUUCAGAAGUAUUGGAAAAGUUUGAUCUAGAUAUUCCUAUUAAAUUGAAUCAAUUUAUUAUUUUGUAAAAAUCAAAAUAAAUUUAGUGGCUGAAUUGAUUUAAAAAAAAUCAAAUCUGACUUUUAAAUCCCAUAAAUAAGUUCGUGAGCUAAAUUAGUCUUUAUUCCAUUUUAUAACCACAAAGUCGUGUUUAAAAUUUUAAACAAUAUGGUUCUUAUGUUGCCUGUAACGGUUUCGUAUGCUCUAGUAGCUUUCUCUCUUUUGUCCAAGGUUUCUUGUCCUGCCAACAUGGAGAGGGACUUUAAUCAUUUGUCAAUCGCUGAUGAUGAGGAAGAAGGCUUGCCUGUUAACGCAUCUUCAGAUGCCACCAAGUCUACCUACGAAUUUUGUCUUGUCGACAUGUUCUUGACUUGCGGGACUGUGAAUUUUUAGUCCAUGCGAAACACUUUCGCAGAUUUGUGGCAUUCGCUCGGAGGGAUUAUAAUUACUGAUUUGGGAGCCAAACGUUUUCUGUUUCGGUUCUACAACAAAGUGGAUUUGGAUAGGGUUUUGAAUGGUGCCCCAUGGACUUUUAAUCGACACUUGCUGGUAUGGGGUCUGAUAAAAAAUGAUGAGGACCCGCUGCUGAUUCCUUUGCUAUACUCGGAUUUCUGGGUUCAGGUACAUAACUUGCCGGUCGGGUUAAUGUCUGCGGCAGUGGCCAAAUCAAUAGGGAAUUUCAUUGGUACUUUCAUUGAAUAUGACAUUAAGACUGUUCAUUUUGAUCCCAAUCAAUUUAUGAGACUGCAGGUUAAGUUGGAUAUUCGUACCUUUACGUAGAGGAAAGAAGUUGAUUGAUUCUAAUGGUAAUGUUCAUUAUGUCCAAUUCCAGAAUGAAAAACUUCUUGUGUUUUGCUAUACUUGCGGUCGCUUGGGACACACCGAUUCGUUCUGUAAAUUACAAUUGCACAAGUCUAAAAAAGAACUCAAGCCAGCUUGGGAUGAUCGAAUAAGGGUGCCGAUUCGCCGGAAAAUUCAGCAAACAACCAUGGCUGCAUGAUGAUAGAAAGUUUGAUGAUACUCCAAUCCAGGCAGAUAUUUCGGGAUGUGUGGGCGGGAAAUAUGGAGUUUUGAAAUCCCAACAAUUUUGAGCUUCCUUUUAUGGCACGAUAGUUAAUUUUAAUGUUAGUACUAAUCCCAUAGGCUUUAUGGAGACUGAUACAAAUUCUUUGAAUGGGUCCAAUACUGAUGGGCUUGACGAGGAUGUGGUCUUAGAAGAUGUGGGUGAAAUGAAGAAGAGGCCCCGAUGAUCCUUUUUGGUGAGGGUAUUAAAGUGGCUAGUGAUCCUUGAGGAGGAUCCUUUUUGCUGUAGAAUCAACGUGGUAGCUCUACUGUGGAUAUUGCCGUGAAGUACCUAUCGAAUUGGAGAGAAGUGUGUCUGCCACAUGAAGCUGCUGUGACGUCCAUUUCAGUGCUUCAUUGACAUGCACAUAAAGCACCAUCCAUUCACGCUCACAAUUUUGUUUGGAUUUGCUUCAUUGAUGGAUCAGUGUUCACAACCAUGGAUUUCAUUGGCUAUGCUUAUGUUAUUGAGGACAGUGAGGGACGGUUUCAACGUGCAGUGUCAGGGUUUCAGGAAGGCAAUGGCUCGGCGGUGGUGAUGGAGGCUAUAGCUCUUCGUUCCUGCCUUUCAUAUGCUCGUGAUUUUCUAUCUUUAAAUGGGUGUAUUUUUUCAAAUUGCCAAAAUCUUAUGAAUGCUCUCAAAUCCCAUUGUUUUAGAUAAUUUUGAAUUUGGUUUGAUUGUUCUUGAUUGUAAGCGAAUUUUAGAGUCUAGACAUGAUAUUACUGUCAGGUGGAUUCAGAGACAAGCUAAUAUGGAUGCUCACACUCUUGCUAGAGCAUCUAUACAUCAUGCUCGUUUCCAAAUUUGGGAUGAUGUUCGUCUUGUUAGUUAGAUUUUUUCCAUUGAGAUAAUGCAAUAUUAUUUCAUUUAAAACAAAUUUAAAACAAUAUAUAAAUUUUAUCAAACAAAUUUAAAUUAAUAACUCUAAAAAAUUUUAAUUUUUAGAUAUUAAAUGGUGUUAUUAGAUGUAAACUAAAUUUAUAUUGUUAUUUCAAUUUAAAUGUCUAAACAAAAUUCUCAAAUUCUUUUUUUGUUAAUAUUUUUUUGGAGAAAUAUAAUUCAUUAAUAAUAAAAGUAUUACAAAUACUCAAUUAGAUCAAAUAUAAAACUUAUUAUCAUAAUUAAUAAAAAGUUCGAUGAUCCUUCAACAAUAAAAGAAUUAUCUAUAUUUUUUUGAAUAGUAAAACUAAAAUUAAAAGAAACAGUUGGAGUUUUCCGCUUGAAAAAAACUUUGAUCGAUAUAAAUCUUCAUAGUAACAACUGAUCCUUUAAUUGAUUUGGACGAUAAAAUAACUUUUUCGAACUUUAUAUGCUUGGAUUGCUUUUUCAAAAAUUUGUUGCAUAUAACAUAUGCGGAUGAGUUUAAACCACUAUGGGUUAAUAGCAUGAAUGAAGGAACAGACUGUACUAUCAGGUUCCAUUGGUUGAAGAUACACAUCAGUAAAACAAGAUCGAAAUUCUCCAAUCAAAUAAAAUCAAAUGUCAUACCUUUUAAUAAUAAAUCUUCACAAGGAACUAAACCCUCUCAAAAGAAUGGGCAAAAAAACUCCAAAUAUGGAGACAAAACAAAUCAAUAACAAAAACAACAAUAACAAAAAUAUAUCUAUUAGAAGAAAAUGGAUUUGAGUUUAUUAAAAACAAAUAAAAGAUUAGGAGCCAGAAGAAAAAAAAAAAAAGUAUGGGGCUACUACUGAUUAACAAUGGCAACCUCAAACAAAAACUAUGAUUAAAUAAAUCAGAGAGAAAAGAGGAGGAGAGAAACCCUAAAACUAUCGAUUUUUUUUUUGUUAAUAUUUAAAAUGACGGUUUUUUUUUUUUUUUUUUUUUUUUUUGCGAAUGUUAAACAAAUCCCUAAAUAGUAUAGGUAAUAAAAUAAAAAAAAAUAUGUAUCACUUUAAUAAUAAUUUCAUGUUAAAAAAUGUUGGAAAAAUAGAGCUCUUGAAUAGGAAAAUCCGGUAUCGAAUUUUUGCUCUGCUAGGGUUUAUCACUUUAACAUUUAAAAAAAAAAAAAAACUAUUUUCAAGACAGUUCAUUUUCUAUUAUUUCUUUUUAAUAUUGAAUAUUAAUUAAAUAACUUACUUUUAAAAAUAUUUUUCCUUGACUUUUUUAAACACUUUAAAUAUAGAAAAAAUUCAAAAAUAUUUUUUAAAUAAAUUAUUUUCAAGAAAAAAUCUUGGAUAAUGGAAAUUUGGAAAAUUAGAUAAAUAAUAAUAAAACCUUAUGCACAGCAAACAUUUGUUAUAUGGUGUCCCAAGAAUAGUAAAACUUGUGGCUGAAUUUUGUAUUUCUUUUUUAGAUCACUCUCUAUCACGCUCUUAACAAUUCCCAUUUGCUGAAGUGGUCCCCAUAAAAGUAUUCUUGAUUGAGAUUUGAAUACGAAUUUCAAUUAAGUAAGCUUCAAGUUACAAACAUCAUCUUCACAAAAUUUCCUUCAUUGGUGAAGCAUUUAUCAUUUGGUAAGUUUUCUCAGAUUUAACACUAUGUUUGGAAUUGGGAGAUUUUAUGAUAGGAAGAAAAUUUUGAAUGGAAAAUAAGAAAAGAAAGCUAUUUUCCUCCUGCUUAAAUGUAAAUAAAAUUUGAAAGGAAAGAAAAUAUUACCAAAAUCCUUUCUGUCCCAUAUUUUAUUAAUCUCUCCAAAUUGGCGAGAAAAUAGGAGAUAAAUGUAUAAAAGGAUAGAAGUGUAAAUUUACAACAAUACAAUUUUCUUUCCUCCAUAUUUUAGACUUUUCUAAAUAAUAUAUAUAUAUAUAUAUUUUUUAUUUUUUUUUUUCCUUUCAAUCUAAACAUAAAAUGGAAAAUAAAGAAAAAAAGAGCUCUUGUUUUACUCGGCACAUGUACAAAAUAUAAGACAUCAAUGUGUUGAACAUGCAAAUCCCAUGCAUGUAUCUGCCAUGCAGGGAUUCAUAAUUAGCUCAACUGAAAAAUUGUUAAGAUCUUUCUUCAUUGUCUUUUUGUCAUAUAAAAAAACACGAGAAAAAUAAAAUAAAACAAGAAAAGGAAGCGCAUGCACAUGCCUGUAAAUGUAUAAUAUACAUCCAUCCAAAUGGGCAAAGAUUAGAUGCCUUCUCACCAUUUUUCCGCGCAUCCAAAACCGUAAGGGGCCACUCACACUUGAUGUGCAGGAUACUUAAAUCAGUUACGCAGCCAGAAAAUUAAAAUUAGAGAUAAAAAAAUUUUCAAGAGUUAACAAGAGUGAGAUUAAAAAUUUUAUUAUUUUAAAAGGAAAAAUAAAAAAUUUUAUUAUUUUUUAUUAUUAGACUAAUUUUAAAAGGUAAAAUAAUAUAUUUUCAUAUAUUAUUAGACUAAUUUUAUUUUAAAAUUUAAUAUUAUUUCUUCUAAGUAUUUUUUUAUGAAUAGAAAUUUUAAUAGAGAAUUAGAGAUCAUCCACUGGAUUUAAAAGUUAAAAUAUAUUUAUAAAUUAUUUCAUCUAUUACACUUAAAUUAUCAACUUGUAGCUUCUUCAUACAAAAUAAGGAGAUAAUUAAUUUAUCUUAAAUCUAUAAAAUUUUCAUUUGAAAUUAUUUUAAUAUUUAUUUUAUAAAAUAUUAUUAAGAGCGAAUGAAUAGUGAGAUCCAAUAAAGAAGAGUAAAAAAUUAAAAAUGUAAUAUACUCUUUUCUAAAUUAUAUAAAAAAAUGACACUUAAAAUAGAACAAAAAAAAAUCUUAAAAGUUAAACAGAAUAUCGGAAGUAUAAAUAAUAGAUUUUAUUUUUUAUUUUUUAAAAAUCGAAUUAAUCAGAGCAAUACUAACAAAAUAAUAUUGUAAAGUUACUUAGGACAUCCCUUCCUCUUAUCUCUCCGUGUGGUCGCUUUCAUUGGCUUCAUAAUCAUACACAUAUUCAUGGCCCACUUACGAAGCCAUCUCACAACCACAAAAUAUAAUUUUCAAAAGAAAAAUGACCGUUCGGACAGCUUGUUAAGUUUUUCCACACUUCUUCCUCACUUUCCCACUCUCUAUAACGGCUACAAUAGAAGGCUCUGGAACAAUCUACCUGUUUUAAGACGGCGGGACACGUGUAACCAAUCACAUGGGCUGCUUUUGCUCGAAAAUGGAGAAGAAUAAGCUGUAGUGUUACUCUUAGAUGUGAAUUAUUUGCUUCAAAUGAUGCUUUAGUUGUUUCUAGUGAAAAUAGAGCAAUAGUAAUUUUUUUUUUUUACCAUUUAAUAUGAUGUACAAUGAAUUUUUUACACUAUGUACUAUUAUGCAGCAGUUACAACAUUUUAAAGUCCAUCAAAUAGUAUAAUCCAUUAGAAAAUCCAAUAAAUUUCUCAUUGCUCUUUUGAAUAAUAUUUACUAUAUUUGUGCAUAUUAAUUAUUAAAAAAAAUUUAUUUACACCCGGUGUUUGGAUCUAUUUAUACAUCAAAUCAAUCACAAAUAAUAUUUUGAUUUAAUCAAAUGUAUUUCUAAUCAUAUAUUAAAAAAAGAUAAAAUAAUAAUUUUUUUGAUUGGUUUACUGAAUGAGACUACCCAUAUACUAAGUGUUGAUAAAAAUUUCCUUAAUUAUUAUAGAAAAGUUAGAAAUAAUUCAAUCGCUUUUCCUUAACUUACUUUUUUGCACUUAAUGUAAUAAAAAAAACUUCAAAACUUUAAUAAUGUAAAAUGAUUCUUACUAAAUUGUAUAGUUAAGUCUAAUAGGAUUGUUGAGACUUUGGUUCUUAAUUUAUGAAAUUUCAAUUUUUAUCCUAAAAAAAAAAAAACAAAGUAACAGGAAAGCUCAUAUAAAUGAACAUGCAAGAGAAAAAAAAAUCAUUUUUUAACUAAAGUAAAUUAUUGCAUACUUCCCUCCUAGAUUACUCUGAAAAAUAAAAAAUAAAAUACACAAAAUUAAAAAUAUACGAGCUUUGUUAACAGAUACAUAUUACGUACAUUUACGAUUACAUUCUUAGCAUAAUAUCAAAAUUUUCAAAAACAUUACAGUUCUUUUAUUCUAUUUACAUUGUAAGUAUCUCUCUACACAGAUUAUGCCAAAAAUACUUUUUGAAUAUCAGUUAAUCAGAUUUAAAAUAGAAUCAGGUGCAGGUGAUAUUACUUAAAAAAAUAAUAUUUCACUGUGCCACGGCAUAUAAGAUAAAAGUGUAAUCGGCAUAUAAGAAGGCACAAAAUCAAGAGAGUUGACAUGAAUGGACUGCUGUUGGGAGUGUGAGUUGGACGGAUUUGAAAUAAAGAUAAGAGGAAAGGCAUAGGUGGGACCUGUUUACUGUGCCACAGCAUGAACCGUGAUGUUUUUUGCCAGCUGGUGGACACGUGAUUCUUGAUUAGUUCAAUUACUGCAUUUGAUCAAACAUGGCCCCACUCUUUGAAUAUUUAAUUUAAGAAAAAAACCCAACCAGAACACCUCAUAUUUCCUGACUGAAAUGCUUGCUUGCUGCGGGCUACUACAAUAUAUAAGAUAUAUCUAUACUGAAACCCUUUAUCUUUAAUUGGCAUUAUUAAAAGAUUUUGUAACCUUACACCGUGGAAAUACUGGAAAUGACAAUUUUAACUCAUUUAAAUGUAAAAGUUAAUUAACAAAUUUAUUUUGGAUAAUUUAUACAAAAUAUGAAUAAAUAUUGUAUUUCUAAAAUAUAAGUCGUUUAAAGUAUUGCAUGCGAUUAAUGAAUCAAUUAAUUUCGCUAAAAAUUAUAUCACUCCGUCUCAAAAUUUAAGUUGUCUAAGGUGAUAAUUUUAUCACAAAAUAUAAGUCAUUUUGAAUAUUUUAAGAAAUUACAAAUGAUUUUUUUUCUUUCAACUGUAUCCUUAUUUAUAUUAGAUAUAAUACAACGAUGUGAGAUAAAAGUAACAAUGAGAGAUAAAUGAUAAUUUGUUCAAAUUACUCUUGAUUUUGUUAGAAAUUUAGAAAAAUUAAUUGCAUUUUUAAUUCUCGUAUAAAAAUCUUAAACGACUUAUAUUUUGGACAAAUAGAGUAAUAAACUCAACAAUAAUUUGAUUUAUGAGAAUUAAUUUAAACGAUCAAAUUAUCCUUAAUCUCAAAAUCAAGUUAUUGUAUUAUGAAUAAAGUUAAAAUUGGAAAAAAGAUUAUUUGUUAAAUAUGUUUUGAAAUCAAAUAGUUUUAUGAGUUAAAAAGAUUAGAAAUAAUCAUUUUUUAAAUUCAUUUGGUGUUAAAUUGGGAUGAUAAAUUAUCAAAAAAAAAAAAAAAAUAUAUAUAUAUAUAUAUAUUUGACAAACAGAUUGAAAGCUAGUUCUUUUGAAAGUUUACUGAGAACACAAAUUACAAGCUCAUAGUAGUUAGUAGCUUGAUUAAGGAAACCCAUGAAGGACAAAAUGACAGUGGCAAAUGCCUUUGAGACCAAAAGGCUUCAGCUUCAAUUUUUUAUAACGUAACAUUUAAUAUCUUUCUCUUUAUGAUUUUUAAAUUAUUGUAAUUGCUAUCAACAGUAUAAAGUAUAGAAAAUUCAUUAUAUAUAAUAUUGAAUAAAAAAAAAAAAAGGGUGAGAAAUGUCAUUAUUUAUAGAAUUAAUUCACACAAACAUAAAUGCGAAGCUUCAUUCUACCUUUUAGGUGCUACCAUUCACUGAAGGGGAACGCACGCAUCAUUGAAGCUCAACGCCUGUCUUUUGCACUUUUCAAACUGAAUCAUUUCAUUCGUGAAAUAAAUUGAUGGAUAAAGGGCAAUUGCCAAACAAUAUUAACGGCAAAAACAAACGAGUCUUUUUUUUUUUUCUUUUUCUUUUCUUUUCAUUAGAAUAUUUAAAGUAUUGGUUAGAGGUAUAAUUAUAAAAUAUAAUUGAUCUCAUAAUUAAUCUUUUCCUUUUCUUAAUAAUAAUCAUUAUAGUCUUGCUUUUGGUGUUAUAGUUGUUUUUUUUUUUUAAUAAUAAAAAAAUAAUGUAUUAUGUCAAUCGAAUGUGAUCUGAUUGGUAUUUCCAUUCACCUUGAGAAGUUUCAAAUUUUAGAUAGUUAACUAUCAGAGUUAUCGUCAAUUUUGCUUAUAAAACAACAAGAGAGCUACCUAUAUUAUGCAGCCCACAAAAAUUCUUUAUAAUAAAUUAAAAAAAUAUUAUUUUAUUAAAAUUGAUAUAUUAUAUUUGUUAUUUAAUAGUUUGAACUAGAAAAAUAAGCUACUAAAAUUCACACAGAUUUUCUUAAAUAUAAAUUUUUACUAUGAAAAAUAGAAAUCAAAGUCAGAAAACAGAAAUGAUACAAAAUAGACACGUAAUCAUAUUUGAUGAGCAUUUCUCAUAAUACACGUUAGCUUGUUUAGCUUGUUUCGUGUAAAUUGAUGAUCCCAUUCUGUUUCGACAUAAAUGGUAUCAUUGGUUAUUAUAAACAAUUUCAAAAAUUUUUGAGCUACCACCAUAAAUACAACUUGUAUGAUUUCAAUUUUCAAAUUUAAAAGUUAUCUAAUAUCUACUUUAUCAAUGGACCUACACCUUUCCAAAUUUCUUGUUAAUCUUAUGCAUUAGAAAAUUUAGCCAAAUAAAAUUGAUAUUAUAUAUCAAUUUUAUUUAUUUUUCAAUUUAAAAUCACAAGUUUAAUUAUCGGAAAAUGCAUAUACUAUGAAGAAAAAAUUUUUAUAAUCAACUAUCCAAAAGAGAUUAGUUUACACCAAUAUAGUAGAAGAAAAAUAGUGGAAGAACACGUGACGAUUCUAAUAUGAUAUACAUAAACUAAAAAUAUUUUAAAGGAGUCUUCACUUAUAAUUUUGUUUUCAAAAUUUAAUACUUGUAAUUUGUUUUAACCAACUAUUUACUAUUUUUAAUUGAUUUUGUAAACUCAAAACUCCAUUUAUUUUUCAAAAAAUAAUUUAUUUUUAAAAAAUAUUUUUAAAAGCAAAACAUACUUGAAAAUUUGAAAUAACACAUUUUCUAUUGUUUGGUUACAAUAUUGAAAAAUUGUUAAAAAAUAUUAAAGCUUUUAUAAGAUCGAAAAAAUUUAUAAUUAUAAAAAGUUUCACAUUUUAAAAUUUUAUUAUUUAAUACAACAUAAAUAUUUAUUACGUGCUUGAUUGUAAUUUGUAUCUAAGACUUAAUCAUAUUUUAUGGACCAAAGAUAUAUUUUGUAUAGAAUCCAGAUAGAAAUAAGAGAUUAUAUUCCUAAAUCCUUCGCUAACUCUCAAUGAACUAGCAAUCACUCCAAAAUACUUAUUGAAUUGGUAUUUCAAAUAUUUAUCUAAUAAAGAUUCCACCUACAACUCUAAUGAAAAUUCUUUACCUCUGUAUAAAAGAGGGAUCAAACUCCCUACUCACACUAUUUAGGCAAUGUAAUACCAAUAUAUUUCAUUCAAUUAUAAGUAUUUAUUAUUUAUUUACUGACUUAAACAUAAAAGUGAUUGCAGGCCUAGAUGAGACCUUUAUUAUUCGUUUAUGUCUUGCAGAUUUCUACGGACCUCUCUUUAUUUUUCCUUGUUCAUUUAUGUCUUACAGAUUUUUACAUAGGCGCUAUGGAUAGAUUUUUCUAAGUCUAUCAUUAUUAAAUAUGAGAAACAAUAUUAUAAAAAAAGAUAAAUUACGAUAUCUAUCGAUGACCGUGGUCGUGAAAAUAAUGAUUAAUUAAUAAUAAAUAUGUAUUUAUAAGUUUAUAAUAAAUUUAUCAGUAUCUGAAAAAUAUUUUUCUCUUUUAGAAAAAGAAAGUUAUAAAAAUGAUUUAGUUCUCUCUUUCUUAAGGAAAAUAUCAUCUGUUGCUAAUUUUCUUGAACACUUCAAACAUUAAAAAAAAAUCUAAAAAAUAUUAUUCAGACAAGUUAUUUCUCGAAAUUAAUGGAAUCUCAAUAUUAAUUUAUUAUUAUUUUUUCCAUUGAGAAAAAAAUAUAUUAGAUUUAUUCCACUAUUGAGAAUAAAGGAAAUCAUUUAAAAUAAGAAAGCUCAAAAAGUUAUAGCCGUAAUACUAAUAGCAUUAUUUCAAAUUUGUUUGACAUGAUGUAAUCAACCGAAAUGAUAAUUACAUUAUAUGAGUAAUUACAUUAUUUGAUUAGACUUUUUUUAAUAGCGUAGUAUAAUUGAGACUACGUGUAUAAUCUUCAUCACUUAAAUUGAUGUAAUACUCAUUACAUGAAAAAACACACAUAUUGUCUAUUACAUCAAGUAAAUGGAAUACCGAUUAUAUUAAGUCAUCCCAAUCAAAACUCUACCAUUCUAGAUUAUUUAGGCUGUGUUGGGUAAUAAAGUUUUGAGUGGCUUUUAAAGUUUUGACUGGUCAAAACGUUACUUAAAAAGUUGUUUGGUAACAUAGCGUUUGGACUAGCUUUUAGAGAUUAGAAUAACGUUUUGUGAAAAGUUAACUCACGUAACGUUUAGCUUUUAGCGUUUCAUGAAAAACUACUCAAACAGCUAACAACUAAACACUAUUAAAAUAGCAAAUAGCUACCAAAAUAGCUAAUUUUGCCGAACAUAUCCUUAAUACUACCACUUCACCACCACAACCACUAUCACCGCUUCACCACCACAGCACCACCUUAACACCCACCACAACCACUGCCACAAUUACUACUCCACCACCACCACCACCACUACUGUUCCAUCACUACUUCAACCACCAUUACCGCUCUGCAACGACAACCAUCACCAUUGUUCUACCAUCACCACUACUACCACCAUCACUGCUCCAUCACUAUCACCUCAACUACCACCACCGCUGCUGCUGCCUCAACUCCUACCAUCAUCGCUCCACCACCACUAUCACCACCAUCGCUUUACCACCACCACCAUGUGGUGGUGAUAUGAUUAGUGGUGAUGGUGUGCUAAUUAUAUUACAUAUUUACAAAAAAAAAAAAAAAGAACGAUGAUUAUAUUCCUAAAUUUUCUUGAUAAUAUUAUCAAACAUAGUAAUGAAAUCUUAAUUAAAUUACGUUUUUCAUCACAUUACUUCUUUAAUUACAUUAUAUUGCCUUACAUCAAACCAGACAUAGCGUUAGCAUGUAUAUCCUCAUACACAUCAAAACUUGACUCUAAUAUCUAUGAGAAAAAUGCACAGUUAAGCCCUUAAAUUUAAUCAGUUUUUCCAUUAAACUUUUAUUUAUGAAUAUUAAGUUUUUAAACUUUUAUUUUUUUUAAAAAAAUUAAACUCUAUUUAACCGAGAUUUAAACUUUUAUUUUUUUAAAUUAAACUCUUAUUUAAUUAUGAGUUAAACAAUUAUAAUCCCAUAUGUUAUACGCGGUUGAUGGGAAAACUUAAUCGAAUUGUUAAAUCUCUUAAACUUUUAUUUUUUGAAAAUUAAGUUUUUAAAUUUGUACUUUUGUUAAAGUGAGUAUUUAAAUUAUUUCCAUUAUCAGUGAUUUGAAUUUAUUAUUUACUCACUAUCGAUUUAGAACUUAAUUUUAACUUAAAUAAAAAUUGAAGGAUUCAAUAUUGAUAAAUGAAAUUGCAGGAGCUUAGUAGACAAAACUUGAAAAAUAAGAGGCUUAAGUACAUCUUUUACCAAAUAUAAUCAAGAGUUAAUUUACACUCACACAUAGGUGAGGAUAGGAUUAGGAUAGAAGUGUGGUAAGUGCCCGCGAACUUUGAGUUAUCCAUAUCUAUAUCUGUUUAGAGCUUUAAAAUCAAUUGUAUCUAUGUUAAAUCCGUUUAAAUACCUAUAUCAAAAUCUGUUUAAAAUUUUACUGUCCGAUCCAUUCAAAAUCUAUUUUAAAUACUUGUAUUUGAUGUUCAUAAAAUUUAAACCAUUUAAACACGAACUUAUUUAAAAAAGUAUCUUCCAUUGAUAAUGGAUAAAGUAUCAAGGAUACUCACAGUAAAACUCAUUUAAUAUAAUGGAUAACAAGUAACGAAUAUUCAAACUCAUUUAGUAAAACUCCUGAAUUCAAACGACAGGAUUUGCAAGUGAAGAGAGAUGGAACCUAAAACGGUUGGCUAUGUACUCAAUGUAGAUUCACUAACAAAGUACAACAAAUGCAAAUACCAAGUAAAAAGGAACAAAUGGUUAAGAAUUCAGACAAAGUCCUAACUUCAAAGUUCAAAGUUCAAACCAUAAAAUCAUUUCAGUAAGGAGAAAUCAAACUAAAACUUUUGAAUGUUAAAAUUUCAACUUUAACCACAGAACCAAAACCCUGUUAGCUAUGUACUAACACAAAGUGCAAGAAACACCGAGUACGAACUCAAGCACAGUAAGAUUGAGCUGGAUUGCCCAUAACCCAAAAACACUAGAAUGUGUCUGGUGUGGAGGGGUCCAGAAGCCAACUUAAAUAGAAGCAGAGGGACAACACUGGAAAUUAUGAUUUAAAAAAAAAAAAAAAAAAAAAACUAAAAAGCAAAGAGAGAAACAGACAAGAAAUAACCGUUGUAGGGGUGGCUUUUUGGGUUGGAUGCCAGGCUGACGCUUGAGCCCCCCUCAGAUGAUUCAGCUCACAUGGUCUAUCUGUACACUCUGGGUCCCACCCUCCACUUUCUCUCUCUACUACCCUCUUUGGAUUAGUUGUCAAAUGAUCCUUUUAUGUUAUCAUAUUACACACUUUCAUCCUAUCUAUUUCAAAGUUACUAACUUUAGUUAAUGAGAUUUAAUCUGCCAAAUGCAUAAAUUAAUAUCUAAAUUUUAUAAGAAGAGUCUAGUAGCACCUUUAAACGUUGAAAACUUCUUUUCGUAAAAUUAUAGCUAGUAAAUGCCUUAAUUUAAAAAACCGUAUUUAUUAAAUACUUAAACGUAUAUAAUUAUGUUUAUUAAAUAUUUAUCGGAUGAUUUAAAAUAUAAAAAUUUUAUUAUUUAAUAAAUUAUAUUAAAAGUUAUAUAAAAUGUUACACUUAUUGAAUAUAUUAUUUAGUAAUUGUUGUAAAAUUAAAAACCCUGUUUUUUUUUUUUUCAAAUUAAGUUGAUACUUAGUCUCAACUGUGCUUUUAUCCAUAAUUUUAAAUAAUUUAUUUGUAGAAACCCUAAAAACCAUAUAUUUUUCGUUGACAUAUCAUAAAAAUUAAAAUUAUUAAUUUCAAACUGUUUAAAUACUGGUAAAAUGUAAAAUAAUGCAAAUGGUGACAGUUUUUGCAACCAACUUUUUUUCUUGGAAAUUCUCUGUAUUACAAUCGUCUUUUAUAAUAUUUUUAUUAAUAUUAUUUUGUUCCAAACAUGCCCUUGUCUUAUCCAAAUAAUGCCCCGUACUCUCCUGCCCUUCUCUCUAUUCUUAUAAGGGCAGUGGCCUGUGGAUCAAAGACCACAGUCCCAAGAGAGAAGAGAAAGACAAAGCAAUUAAGCUCACAAGAGAGAAGCUCUUCUAUUUUCUAGAGUAAGAAAGAAGAAAGAAGACGAUGGCCAAGGAAGUAAGUGAAGAAACGCAAACUACCCAUGCAAAGGAUUAUGUUGAUCCACCACCUGCGCCACUGAUCGACAUGGCUGAAAUCAAGCUCUGGUCUUUCUACAGAGCUUUAAUAGCUGAGUUCAUAGCCACUCUCCUUUUCCUUUACAUAACUGUAGCCACUGUAAUUGGCUACAAGAAACAAACUGAUCCAUGUGGUGGAGUUGGUCUUUUGGGCAUUGCAUGGGCCUUUGGUGGCAUGAUCUUUAUCCUUGUUUACUGCACUGCCGGUAUAUCUGGUAAGUAAAAAAAAAAGGAACUAUUUCUCUAAGUUACUAGUACCCAAAUGGGUAUUUAUUAAGUUUUAGGUUUCUGUGAAGUUUCUUUGUGGAUUUGGUCAUUCAACUUGAAAAAUAACAAAACCCAUUUGUUUUCAAGACCUGUUUAAUAAUGGGUUUUCCUUAUUUUGGUUACAGGUGGUCAUAUUAACCCAGCAGUGACCUUUGGGCUGUUUUUAGCAAGAAAGGUGUCACUAAUUCGAGCCUUGGCUUACAUGGUGGCUCAGUGUUUAGGUGCCAUCUGUGGUGUAGGGUUGGUCAAAGCUUUUAUGAAGAAUCCAUAUAAUCAUCUUGGUGGUGGUGCUAACUCUGUAAAUACCGGCUAUAGCAAAGGAACUGCUUUGGGUGCUGAGAUCAUCGGCACUUUUGUUCUAGUCUACACUGUUUUCUCUGCAACUGACCCCAAGAGAAGUGCACGUGACUCACACGUUCCUGUAUGUUAUCAACCAUAGCCUAGUAUAGCUCUCCUCUUUCAUGUCAAAGAGUUCAAAUCUAAACUUUGUUUUGGUUAUGUUUGGUUGCAGAUUUUGGCUCCACUUCCAAUUGGGUUUGCAGUUUUUAUGGUUCACUUGGCUACCAUACCCAUUACUGGUACUGGUAUUAACCCAGCGAGGAGCUUCGGUGCUGCUGUUAUUUACAACAAUGAUAAAGUCUGGGAUGAUCAUGUAAGCCUCUUGAUAGUCAACCAGAAACUUAUUUUUCUUGAUUUUAUGGUUGUUUUGAAGUUGGUGCUUUUUAACAUAAAACAUCAGAAGUAGGUUAAUUUUCAAGAAUAUGUUUAUCUUCUUGAUAAAAUAAUUUAAUUUCCUUUUUAAUUAUUUUUUGGAUGGGCAGUGGAUUUUCUGGGUUGGACCGUUUGUUGGAGCAAUUGCAGCAGCUGCAUACCAUCAAUACAUACUGAGAGCAGCAGCUAUCAAAGCUUUGGGAUCUUUCCGCAGCAACCCCACCAACUAAAAUGAAAGAAAGAACGAAAGAAAGAAAAACAAGAAAAAAAAAAAAAACCAAAGGCUUUGUGUAGCUAUCUUUAGUCUCUAGUCUUUCUUUUUCUCUAUUUGUUUGUUUGUUGUGUGUAAUGAGAGGAUUAUGAUGAUGACCCUUCUUUCUUCUUUCUUUUUUUACUUCAUUUUUUCUUUUCUUAUUGUUCUUUUGUAUCAUUGUUAAUGAGUAGUGCUGUUCUUUUUUCUUUCUUUUGAUCAUAUUUAAUUGCUUUGUGCAGUGUAGAACGUUCUCUCUCAACACUCUUUUAAUAAUUAGCCACUAAAUAAACUACCAGCUAACUAAAUUUUUAUCCUCUCGACCUUCAUUACAGCGGUGCUAGUGAAUUUGUGAGUAGCGGUUAGGCCAUCUUCGGGAACAGUUUUUUCAUAUGGC
This 19051-nucleotide long non-coding RNA is filed under the name Jatropha curcas. RNAcentral describes it as "long non-coding RNA (JCUR_LNC002385)". The record is from RNAcentral. Lineage: Eukaryota; Viridiplantae; Streptophyta; Magnoliopsida; Malpighiales; Euphorbiaceae.